UCGCACAGCUGUCUUCGCAGACAAAGCUUGCUAGCUCUACACACUCACAGAAGUUCAGAAAUGGCUGCGAAGUUCCCAAUUCUUCUUGGUGUCAUAUUGGCCACUCUCCUUCUCGUCUCCCACGAUGUAGCGCAUGCAGCAGAACAAGCGGGGCCAUCGGAGCCACAACUUCCAGAGGGGUAUGGUUCAGGCUAUAUGCAACCUGGGUACCGUGGUGCCUAUACCGGAGGUGGUGGCAACGGUCAAAACGGUGGUGGUGGCAGUGGUUAUUAUCAUAAUCCUUGAUGUGGAUCAGUAUUGCUAUAGGUGGUGGUAUGCAAUAGACAACGCUAUGUGUGUCUAUCUAGCUAUGAAAUAAGGCAUCGUUCAUCAGCUUGAAAACACUUUCUAUCUCUAUGUGUUUUUUUUUUUGGCGAACCUAUCUAUCUAUGUGUAUCGAUCUAGCUACCGAAUUUGACAUCGUUCGUCAGCUUGAAACGCUUGGAUAAAAACUGGAUUGUUUUGCUGACAGAAUUGAAGAUAAAGAUCCAUAAGUUUUAUAGAUAA
This is a non-coding RNA of Oryza sativa Japonica Group (Japanese rice), 546 nucleotides long. The record is from RefSeq and is a predicted model, not a curated record. Lineage: Eukaryota; Viridiplantae; Streptophyta; Magnoliopsida; Poales; Poaceae.